This 434-nucleotide long non-coding RNA is filed under the name Helianthus annuus (common sunflower). Lineage: Eukaryota; Viridiplantae; Streptophyta; Magnoliopsida; Asterales; Asteraceae. The record is from RNAcentral.
UUGUUGAUAGCCAUUGUUAUAGGUUUAGGUUCAGUAAAAAGGUGGCUUCAUAUGAAUAUUAGUGUUUUUGAUUAUUCAAAACCUUAAAUUUGUCACCAAGCGCUUGCAACAUCUAUUUAGGUUGCACACAAGUUGCUCGAUAAAAUGCUUGAAUGAAGUUUUAUUCUCACAUUGGUUACAUUCAAGUGUAUGCCACCAUAAGGGUCGCAACGGAUCAGGCAUGUGGAAAUUCAACAGAAGGUGACACAUCAGUUUCAUCAGUUUAAAAAGAGAGACUGUGAUGUCUUUAUUAUGUUGAUAUUUAGGGGAAAACGGUUACUGAUUGAUUUCAAGGGUUUCCUUCUUCUAUGUUUUUUUUUGUUCGUUAUAAUUGCUAUAUCUACUUUUUUGUCUACUAGAUGUGGAUUUUGAUAGUAGAUAAAAGUUAUGAAACG